GUAUGUGAGGGCUAUCUGGCUCAGACAUGUGUCACUGCAUUGAUCUCCAGGGUUGAUUCAGCUGAUCUGGAUGGAUAGACAGAUGUCCCCUUCCGCCUUCAUCACUCUGUGUGCAUCCCUCUGGUCGAAGAGGACAGCCUUCCCUGAAUAGAGCCAGACUAAUCUUCUUGGUCAAGGGUAGUUGUACUUCUCUGCUAGAACCUCCAAAGAAGCGCUCAAGAACGCAGGCAUAGUGCUCACUUCUGCAACACAUAUACUAAAAAAAAAAAAAAAAAGAAUUU
This 281-nucleotide small nuclear RNA is filed under the name Erinaceus europaeus (western European hedgehog). Its description in RNAcentral is "7SK RNA". It matches the Rfam family "7SK RNA". From Rfam's summary of the family: 7SK was discovered as an abundant small nuclear RNA in the mid-70s but a possible function has only recently been suggested. Two independent studies have found that 7SK RNA binds the CDK9/cyclin T complex (known as elongation factor P-TEFb). P-TEFb activates transcription by phosphorylating the C-terminal domain of RNA polymerase II. The record is from Rfam by way of RNAcentral. Lineage: Eukaryota; Metazoa; Chordata; Mammalia; Eulipotyphla; Erinaceidae.